CGCGGAGGGGCGCACAGGGUACCGCAUGGGCUUUGUGGGCCUCUCUGCCCGUGGGCCCCCGUCUCCUGCAGGGACACUAACCCUCUCCUCCUCGUCCUCUGUUUUCCUUCGAGCGUCUGUGCAGGUUCUGACCAUGAGUCACUCCGCGGCUCAGGCUCCUGUGAAAUCCGUUUCUGGUGCUGCUCCUCCCACACCUGCCCCAGGACCCCUUUAUCUACUCGCGUGGAUCUAACCCGUUGGCUGUAUUUGAUUUGAGGUCUUCAUGCUUAUCUACAUCACAUUCUCGGUACAUCUGUCCCCGUGACGGUGCCCCACACGCUGAGCAGGGGAUGCGCACCGGCGCCUCUGGCCACUGUGGCCCGAGAAUACGCAUUCUGGCUCUGGAUCUGUGUCGUGAGCUGCCCGGCCUAGUCGCGUAUCCCCAGAGCCCGAGGGGGACGGGGGACGCCUCCCGUGAGACCAAAUGUAUGUUUGCUCUGCAUCGUGCUUCUGGCUCCCUAACCCCCUGGGGUUUUCCAAGUGAGAAGAGCCAAUAAGGUGUCUUUUGUAUCAUAAUGGGGAGACGCUGGAAAGCCCCUAGGAUCGCACUGGUGGCCAGGGAUCCAAGCCUGUGAUCUGAGAGCAGGAACCACCUGGCCUCUGGGAGGGGAGAGGGCCUGGGGGUUGAAUGGAUCACCUAUGGCCAAUGACUUGAUCAAGCCUCCGUAAAAAGCCAAAGAAGGAUGGGGUUGGGGUCAGAGAGCUUCGGGCGGUUGAACUCUUGGAGACUGGGGACAGCCGUGUGCUCAAGGGCUCGAGGGAGCUCCACCCCUCCCCUCCCCUCGCCCUGCCCGGCUCUGCAGCUCUUGGGCUGUUCUGAGUUCUAGCCUUGACGAUGACCAGCUGAUCGACUGAGUAAAGUGUUCCCUGUGAGCUGCCCUAGCCAACCAGGUGGGCCCACGGAGGGAGUCACUGGAACCUCCAAUCUAUAGCCAGCUGCUCAGAGGCACAGCAGGGCCUGGGGGCCUGGGGAGGCCGGGACCACCCCCCUGCCACACACACACACAGCAAACCUCCACCAGCUACUUCGCGGGGCCCUGUGAAGCUGGGAGGGACUCUGGGGCGGCGAGGGGCAAAUACUGUCCCCCUUCAAGAAGGCCGAGUUAUUCACUAGCCUCCAUAAUAAAUAAAUGAGCG
Molecule: long non-coding RNA, 1176 nt
Organism: Acinonyx jubatus (cheetah)
Lineage: Eukaryota; Metazoa; Chordata; Mammalia; Carnivora; Felidae
Exons: 3
Source: RefSeq, a predicted model, not a curated record